UACGUAGGGUGCAAGCGUUAAUCGGAAUUACUGGGCGUAAAGGGUGCGCAGGCGGCUGUGCAAGACAGAUGUGAAAUCCCCGGGCUUAACCUGGGAACUGCAUUUGUGACUGCAUGGCUAGAGUUUGUCAGAGGAGGGUGGAAUUCCGCGUGUAGCAGUGAAAUGCGUAGAUAUGCGGAAGAACACCAAUGGCGAAGGCAGCCCUCUGGGACAUGACUGACGCUCAUGCACGAAAGCGUGGGGAGCAAACAGGAUUAGAUACCCUGGUAGUCCACGCCCUAAACGAUGUCAGCUGAUUGUUCGGGAAGCAAUUCCUGGGUAACCAAGCCAACGCGUGAAGCUGACCGCCUGGGAAGUACGGUCGCAAGAUUAAA
RNAcentral lists this ribosomal RNA (374 nucleotides) under uncultured bacterium. Its description in RNAcentral is "bacterial SSU rRNA". It matches the Rfam family "Bacterial small subunit ribosomal RNA", at positions 524 to 898 of the family's 1533-position model. The record is from RNAcentral.